AGGUUUUAUGAAAUUGCGCUGACCCAGUUUCUCUUGCUUUCCUUGUACACGAUUGGAUUGAAUGGCGUCUCGUGGAUUGAUCCUAGUUUAAUGGGGACAGGAUAAAUCAUUUUCAGCGUGGCAUUUGAGAAACGUGUGCCUCUGGACGCUUGGAACAGGUACCAUACCAUUUAACGAAAAGACAGUAAAGAUAGUCAGAAAACUUGUUAACCAAAAGUCAAUAACAUUUUACUUGGCUAGCUGAUUUGAAUUGGCAAACUCAGUUUCGAUGGGAAAACCAAAGCGGAAAAUCGUGGCUAGGCGAAACUAAAAACGCAGCCGGUUCCAUCGGAGACAGUGGCACGGUGUGUCAGUGACCCUGCGGUCGAGGCUGCUGCAGCAGGAAAACGCGAAACCACCGCACGGGUAGAUAUCGAUUUGUCUGUGUUCGCUAGGAAAAAAAGUUGGCCGGCCUUCUGACGUUCGCCGCUGAUAUUGCCCGCAGUUCACGCUAACGUGCCAUUUACUCACUCGAACGACCUCCUCACGGCCGUUCGUUCUACCUCCUGCCGUUCCACCUCCUCAUCAGCGUUCCACGAUCGUUCGUUUUAUCGAGGAAGCUCAGGAUGAAAGAUAAUAUCGAGACUGAUUAAAUAUAGCACAACGUUGCAGCAAGAUUUUCGUCCUUUUAAUGGGAAUACGGGAAUACGAGAAGAGAAAUAUUGGAAUCUUUCGACUUAAGACGGAACUUAACUCUUUGGCGCAUGGAUGAAUGUGAUGUUUGUUUGAGAGAACAACGCUUGGAUAGGAAAGGAAAAGCCGUAACUACAAGACUGUUUUCUUUUCUUAAACGCGGACAAAAAUUGCUCAUUGUGCGAUAAUUACACUGAUACAUUGGAGUAUGGCAAUGACGUAACAAUUGCAAACACAAUUCUCAAGAGUCCCACUAUUUGUAAACACAAGAUGGAAAAAUAGUGAAGUCUCGUCUUCAUUGAAAUAAACCGAGCAACCUGCUUGUUGCCUUUUCUACGGCAUCUCCAACAAGUUAAAAAAAUAUACCAAAUGUCCAGCUGGACGAAUUAAAUAAAUAAAAAAAAAAUU
Molecule: long non-coding RNA, 1080 nt
Organism: Bombus impatiens (common eastern bumble bee)
Lineage: Eukaryota; Metazoa; Arthropoda; Insecta; Hymenoptera; Apidae
Exons: 3
Source: RefSeq, a predicted model, not a curated record